GGUUGAUUGCUGCACAAUGUGUAGAGGAAAGUCCAUACUAUCACUAGCUGAGAUGUUAGUAAUGUUUAUGUAGGUAUAUAAAAAAUAAAACCUAGUACUUGAAAGAGUAACAACGAAAGAAGGCCUAAGUUUUUUAAAUAUGGUGCGGAUUUCAUAAAGUGCCACAGUGACGAUGUAUAACGAAAGUUAUAAAGUGAAACGCGGUAAACUUCAUAAGGUAGAAACCCAAAUUUGGUAGGGGAACUUUUUUAGGAUAAAUGAAUCUAUAAAAUCGAUGGAAACAUAGAUAAAUAAUCAACGCUUCUCUGAAGUACAAAAUAUGGCUUAUA
This 329-nucleotide RNase P RNA is filed under the name fish gut metagenome. RNAcentral describes it as "Bacterial RNase P class B". It matches the Rfam family "Bacterial RNase P class B". From Rfam's summary of the family: Ribonuclease P (RNase P) is a ubiquitous endoribonuclease, found in archaea, bacteria and eukarya as well as chloroplasts and mitochondria. Its best characterised activity is the generation of mature 5'-ends of tRNAs by cleaving the 5'-leader elements of precursor-tRNAs. Cellular RNase Ps are ribonucleoproteins. The record is from RNAcentral.